RNAcentral lists this ribosomal RNA (508 nucleotides) under uncultured bacterium. Its description in RNAcentral is "bacterial SSU rRNA". It matches the Rfam family "Bacterial small subunit ribosomal RNA", at positions 28 to 526 of the family's 1533-position model. The record is from RNAcentral.
GAUAAACGCUAGCGGCAGGCCUAUCACAUGCAAGUCGAGGGGCAGCAUAAGUAGUAGCAAUACUACUGGUGGCGACCGGCGCACGGGUGCGUAACGCGUAUGCAACCUACCGUAAACAGGGGGAUAAUCCGAAGAAAUUUGGUCUAAUACCCCAUAACAUAUAUCUCGGCAUCGAGAUAUAUUGAAAAUUUUUAAUGGUUUACGAUGGGCAUGCGUUGUAUUAGUUUGUUGGUGAGGUAACGGCUCACCAAGACUACGAUACAUAGGGGGACUGAGAGGUUAACCCCCCACACUGGUACUGAGACACGGACCAGACUCCUACGGGAGGCAGCAGUGAGGAAUAGUGGUCAAUGGAAGAGAUUCUGAACCAGCCAUGCCGCGUGCAGGAUGACGGCUCUAUGAGUUGUAAACUGCUUUUGUACAAGGGUAAUUCACGGUACGUGUACUGUGUUGAAAGUAUUGUACGAAUAAGGAUCGGCUAACUCCGUGCCAGCAGCCGCUGUAACAC